UUGACCUCGGAUCAGGUAGGGAUACCCGCUGAACUUAAGCAUAUCAAUAAGCGGAGGAAAAGAAACCAACCGGGAUUGCCCCAGUAACGGCGAGUGAAGCGGCAAGAGCUCAAAUUUGAAAGCUGGCCCCCCCGGGGUCCGCGUUGUAAUUUGCAGAGGAUGCUUCGGGAGCGGCCCCCGUCUAAGUGCCCUGGAACGGGCCGUCGUAGAGGGUGA
This 216-nucleotide ribosomal RNA is filed under the name Penicillium brevissimum. Its description in RNAcentral is "partial 28S ribosomal RNA". It matches the Rfam family "Eukaryotic large subunit ribosomal RNA", at positions 1 to 215 of the family's 3401-position model. The record is from RNAcentral. Lineage: Eukaryota; Fungi; Ascomycota; Eurotiomycetes; Eurotiales; Aspergillaceae.